GUGCUUGCUUUGGCAGCACAUAUACUAAAAUUGGAACAAUACAGAGAAGAUAAGCAUGGCCCCUGCACAAGGAUGACAUACAAAUUGGUGAAGCAUCCCAUAUAAGU
Molecule: small nuclear RNA, 107 nt
Organism: Dipodomys ordii (Ord's kangaroo rat)
Lineage: Eukaryota; Metazoa; Chordata; Mammalia; Rodentia; Heteromyidae
Source: Ensembl